Molecule: unclassified non-coding RNA, 385 nt
Filed under: fungal sp.
Lineage: Eukaryota; Fungi
Description: partial internal transcribed spacer region
Rfam family: Eukaryotic small subunit ribosomal RNA (bases 1-46)
Source: RNAcentral
AAGUCGUAACAAGGUUUCCGUAGGUGAACCUGCGGAAGGAUCAUUAACACGUAUCCAACGUUAAACCCCCUGUGAACAUUGAGCUUGCUCUCGAAGCUUGUUUAGAAUUGCAAUCCCUGGUAAAUCAUUGUUGAGCAGAUUUUGAUUCAGGGACCUCAGUUCUGGUGAGUUAGAUUGAGCGAUUGAUCAAGUGGCCUGGUUUCCCCAAGCAGUCAGUGUCUGAAAGUGUCAUUGAUUGUGCAAGGAUAACGCUUCUACGGACCGUACCUUCGGGCAGGAGCUUUGCCAAAGGGUCCCCAUGCCCCCUAAUAACCCCACAGAAGCUCAAUGUAAUACAUUGGGUAAAAAAACCGAACAACUGUUAACAAUGGAUAUCUUGGUUCUC